RNAcentral lists this ribosomal RNA (443 nucleotides) under uncultured bacterium. Its description in RNAcentral is "bacterial SSU rRNA". It matches the Rfam family "Bacterial small subunit ribosomal RNA", at positions 339 to 794 of the family's 1533-position model. The record is from RNAcentral.
GUACGGGAGGCAGCAGUGGGGAAUAUUGCGCAAUGGGCGGAAGCCUGACGCAGCGACGCCGCGUGGGGGAUGACGGCCCUCGGGUUGUAAACCCCUUUCAGCGCCGACGAAGCGCAAGUGACGGUAGGCGCAGAAGAAGCACCGGCCAACUACGUGCCAGCAGCCGCGGUAAUACGUAGGGUGCGAGCGUUGUCCGGAGUUAUUGGGCGUAAAGAGCUCGUAGGCGGCCUGUCACGUCGGCUGUGAAAACCCGCGGCUCAACCGCGGGCCGGCAGUCGAUACGGGCAGGCUCGAGUCCGGCAGGGGAGUCUGGAAUUCCUGGUGUAGCGGUGAAAUGCGCAGAUAUCAGGAGGAACACCGGUGGCGAAGGCGGGACUCUGGGCCGGCACUGACGCUGAGGAGCGAAAGCGUGGGGAGCGAACAGGAUUAGAUACCCUGGUAGA